CUGGGCUCCCAAUGGGUUACUUGCUUAAUUGCAAGAGGAAAGUCCGGGCAUGUGCAGUAAAGGUAGCUGUUAACGGCAGCCGCUUUGUUUGAAAAAACAAGGAAGGGAAAGUGCCACAGAGACAAUACUAGCCGAGGUCAAUUUGACCAAGGUGAAAGGUGAAAAGCCCUGUGAUACACGGGGGCUUCUACGGUAACGUAGAAUCGCUGGUAAACCCUACCGCAUGCAAGGUAGGAUGGGAUGAUCGGAAUAAUUUGUACUGCCAAACCGAUUGUGCCUACCGCUCGAUCUUAUAAGCGAUUAUAAGACUAGAUAGAUGACCCUUAAUACAGAACCCGGCUUAUUCGGAGCCCACUCUA
This 359-nucleotide RNase P RNA is filed under the name Candidatus Altimarinota bacterium. RNAcentral's name for it is "RNase P RNA component class A". It matches the Rfam family "Bacterial RNase P class A". Rfam says of the family: Ribonuclease P (RNase P) is a ubiquitous endoribonuclease, found in archaea, bacteria and eukarya as well as chloroplasts and mitochondria. Its best characterised activity is the generation of mature 5'-ends of tRNAs by cleaving the 5'-leader elements of precursor-tRNAs. Cellular RNase Ps are ribonucleoproteins. Lineage: Bacteria; Candidatus Altimarinota. The record is from RNAcentral.